CCUUGUUCGGCGACAGCAGCAGCGGCACCAGCCGCUUCCGCCGCAGCGUCACCGCGUGCAGCGCCGAGGUGAGCAUGGCUGAGAAGUUGGGCGUGAUGUCGAUCACCUUCCCGCGGGGCGCCAUCAGCGGCUCGAACGCCGGCCACCCGACGCCGACGGUGCAGUGCACGACGCCGUCGUACCUCCUCCCCGAGGGGCUGCGCAUGGCGGCGCCCUCGGGCGUCCGGUAGUCCAGCACCUCGUCGGCGCCCAGGCCCCUCACGAGCUCCGCGUUGCGGGCGCCGCAGGUGGCCGUCACGUGGAGGUUCGCCAGCUUGGCCAGCUGCACGGCGUAGAGGCCCACGCCGCCCGAGGCGGCGGUGACCAGCACGUUCAGCGGCUCGCCGGUGCCGUCGAACUUGGCGCCGAUGGACCUCAGCGCCUGCAGCGCCGUGCCCGCCGCGAUGGGCAGCCCGGCGCCCUCGGCCGCUGAGACGUUGGGUGUCCUCUUGACGGUCAGGUUCGCUGCCGCCACGGCGUACUCUGCCAAUCCACCUCCGUUCU
RNAcentral lists this small RNA (543 nucleotides) under Oryza sativa Japonica Group (Japanese rice). Its description in RNAcentral is "sRNA Os04g0372750". Lineage: Eukaryota; Viridiplantae; Streptophyta; Magnoliopsida; Poales; Poaceae. The record is from RNAcentral.